AUUUUUUUUAAAAAAAUAUUCAACAUUGAGACAUUUUUCUCAAUGUAUUAUAUUCUCAAGAUCUGAUUUUUUGUCUGACUGGUUUUAUCAAAUCAUUAAUUCAGCCAUUUAUUAUAUGAACACCUUUUGUAAAACAAGAACACUAAUUUAUCACAUGAUAUUUUCAUAUAUAUUUUGUGAUAUUGAGAAUCAUUAAGUAUUUUAUCACCUGCUUUUUACAAAAACACAAUAGUCUCUCAUUUCACUAAUAGUGAUACAUUUGCUCUAAGUAUCAGUAAAUUUACUCUGAAUGAUAAGUUCUUCAUUUAAAUAGGAACUUAACUUUUUUGGGAUUUCAGUUCAAAAGGAAAGGUAAAUGUUUAUUUCCCUUAUCUUACCAUUUAUAUAAUAAUGAAUUGAUGUGCAAGUAAUCUUCAAAGGUGACUAGUUUUUAAAUUCAUGUUCUUUAUUCAGAAGACAGAAAGCAUUUUCAGGAGAUUUGAAUAUUUGAAGUUAUAUUUUAAAGGUGAUAAUGCUAAUAGCAUAAUUAAACAGUUUCUGCAUGUAAACACAUGGUAGAAUAAAACAGGUAAUAUAUAUUUGUAAUUAUUUUUCUAUUUCAUGUUUAUUCAAAUGUAUGUACAAUCUCUGUAGCUUGUAGUUUGGCUAUGUUAUGCUUUAUAAAAUUUAUUUAUCUGAGACAGGGUCUCACUCUGUUGCCCAGGCUGGAGUGCAGAGGCAUGAUGUCAGCUCACAGCCUCCACCUCCCAGGUUCAAGUGAUUCUCCUGCCUCAGCCUCCCAAGUAGCUGGGACUACAGGCAUGCACCACCACAUCUGACUAAUGUUUAUGUAUAUAUUUUUUAGUAGGGUCAGGUUUUCACCAUGUUGGCCAGGCUGGUCUUGAACUACUGAGCUCAAAUGAUUAACCUGCCUUGGCCUCUCAAACUACUGGAAUUAUAGGCAUGAGCCUCCACACCCGGACAUAACAUUUAUUUUUUAUUUUAUUUUUUAUAUUUUAUUUUAUAUUUUAUUUUAUUUUUGAGAUGGAGUUUUGCUCUUGUUGCACAGGCUGGAGUGCAAUGGCACGAUCUCGCAUCACCACAACCUCCAGCUCCCGGUUGCAAGCGAUUCUCCUGCCCAGCCUCCCAAGCAGCUGGGAUUACAGAUAAGUGCCACCACGCCCGGCUAAUUUUUUUAUUUUUAGUAGAAUCAGAGUUUCUCCAUGUUGGUCAGGCUAGUCUCAAACUCCUGACCUCAGGUGAUUUGCCCGCCUCAGCCUCCCAAAGUGCUAGGAUUACAGGCAUGAGCUGCCACGCCCGGCCUAUAAAAUUUAUUUUUAUCCCAGUUGUGUGUACUUAUUUACUUAUGUAUUUAUUUAUAUUUAUUUAUUUGAGAUGGAGUCUGACUCUCUUCCCCAGACUGGAAUGCAGUGGCACAAUCUUGGCUCAUUGUAGCCUCUGACACCAGGGUUCAAGCCAUCAUCCCACCUCAGCCUCCCAAGUAGCUGGGAUUUUAAGCAUGUACCACCAUGCCCAGCUAAUUUUUAUAUUCUUAGUAGAGACAGGGUUUCACCAUGUUGGCCAGGUUGGCCUUGAACUCCUGACCUCAGGUGAUCCACCUGCCUCGGCUUCCCAAAGUGCUAGAAUUAUAGAGGUGUGAGCCUCUAUAAGGAAUAUGAUUUGAAGGGAAGAGGGGAUAUGAGUGUGGAUAUGAGUGUGAGGUAAAUGUUUUCCUAUUUAAAUAUUGAAAUAUAAAAGGCUAUUCAGUUUCCAUUCAAGUAACGUUUGGAAGCUUUUUAUUUCAUAAUACUAUUUUGUGUAGAAACCAUUACUGUUUGUUUUGUAUUUGUGUAGGUAAAAAGUAUUAUGAAAUUAUGUAAUUACAGUAUUUUCUUCACUCUGCCAAAAAAAAAACAAAAAUAAUUAUAACUCGGUAUCUAAUGAUUGAACAUUUAGUAAUUCUUCCCUGACAAAAAAGAAAAAUAUUAUAACUCAGGUAUCUAAUGAUUGAACAUUUAGUAAUUCUUCCCUGAUUAUAAAAGUAGCACAUUUAUACUUUGGAAAAUAAAACAGCAUGUAUGGGAAUAAAGUAAUAAACAUAGAGAAAUUCCAUCACCUCCCUUCCCCUCUCCUCCAAGAAAAAGUGGCUUACGCCUGUAAUCCAAGUUCUUAGGGAGCCAGAGGCAGGAGCAUAGCUUGAGCCCAGGAGUUUGGGACUUGCCUGGGCGAUAUAGCGAGACCCUGUUUCCCCGCCCCACCCCUCAAAAAAAAAGAAAAAAGUAAUUCCAUAUUUUACAGGUUUAGUGGUGACUUCAUAAAAGAUGAAAGGGAAGGUUAUCAGAGUAUCCCAUUGUAGUGAUUAUAGUGCUCAGAUUGUAGCUCCAUACCUGUUAGAACACAUUACCAAUUGUCAGCUUAAACUAUAUUUGUAUUUAUUGUUUGUCUGUUUUGUAUUAAAGGCAAAAGCUCAUUAUCAAUUAGUUGUAUGUUUUAAAGAGUUGACCACAACAUCCAUCAUAAGACCUAUCUAAAGAGAAAUACAUGAUGUCUUAGUACAAAGGAGUAGAGAGAGAUACAAUGAAUAUAUUUAUUUUCGUGUUUCUUAAGAGGGAAUGCACUAGCAAUUGACGGUAAAAUAGAUACAAAUCAAGUAAAGAAACCAGUAUAUUUUUAGUCAUUAUGUCACUUUGAACAACAAUUUGUUUAAUCAUUUUGCGAUAACUGGUUGCUUGGAACUGCCUUAUUUUUUGUAUUCAAUAUAUUUAUUUAUGGGAGUGUAUACAUAUUCUAGGGUGUUCUAGUUCCUCAGGGAAAAUCUGGAUGACAUAGAAGAAUUUUGUUCUUUAUUAUGAGUCAAUUUAUAAUUUCAUCUUUUUUUAAAAAGCAUUUUUCCUACAGCUAGACGUUUUGAUUGUCACUUUUGUUGUGAGAAAAAAAUUACAAAGACGUAAAGAUUGGGAAUGAGGAAGGUGACUUGAUCGGGUAUCACACUUACAAAAUCUUGUAUGUAAUUAGAGUUAUGUUAAUGGCACAUUUAUAAGCAAAGUAAUGUCAUGGAAUGGAAGACCUGUAAGUUGACAUGAGAAACAGAAAGUGUAUUGAAGUUAAUCUGCAUUCAUGGGGGCAGAUUGUUAGCCAAAUGAAUAAAGAAUUAGAUUCAUCUCCAUGGUAUGUAGCAUGAAGAAUUUAAAAUGAAUCAGAGGUUUAAAUUAACUGCAGAAAUUAUAGAGUUUCAGAAAACAAAUGAAUUUCUCUCCAAUUUCGAGGAAAUUACUUAUGAUACACAUUGUAGAAGCAACAAGAAACAAAGAUUGAUAGUAAAAAUGAAAUUACAGAGUUGAAAAAGUGACAUCACAUAAGAAGAGUGAAACCCUUGGUGUGUAAGAUAUAAUCGGGGAAAAAUACCAGUUCAAAGGAAAAGUGACUUGAGCACAUAGUUCACUGAAAAAAAUACACAAAGUGCUGUUAAUCAUAUAAAAGGAUUCUUGGGUUUGCUCAUAAUAAGGAUAAUGACAAUUGAAAAUACAACUAAGAUAUAAUUAGUUUCUCUACUAUUAAACUAGCAAAAAUCCAGAAGUUUGACAACUUUUUUUUUUUUGGCAACAUGUUCGGAAUUAUGGAAAAUCAUACGUUGCUUCUGGGCAUGUAAAAUGUAAACCAUAUGGGUAGGAAUUUAAUAUUUUGUAAAUCUAUAUCUGUGGCAAAUACAUAGUUCAUCUCCUAGUAAUAUGUAGCAGUAAGAAGGAUUGAUGGAUGUUUGUAUACCACUAUGUGAUAAUGUCUUGGAUAUAAUGUAGAAAUAGGGGAGAAGUCGGCUACAGGAAGUAAAAAUGGCAAUAUGGUGCUCAGGGUGCAUUCAUCACCAUAACAGAUAACCGUUUUGUUAAUGGUGCCCUGCGCGGUAACUAAAAUUGUACUGGGCUUUCAACAGAAUUUUGUCAAAAUGGGACGCUGCAUGAGCUAACGAGUUGUGAAAUAAAUAGGUUUUUAUUGUGGAAUAAUAAGUAACACAAAGAAGGGGGUUUGCAGUAUCUUAGGAAGAAGAACAGACAUUCUUGGUAAAGUUCCUUUAAUAUGAAAAUAGCAUUUUUAAAAACUUGGAGUAGUGAGUGAAGAAGCUUUCUGUAUGAGAGCACGGUUAGUUCCCAAAUAAAUCCCAGCCUCCUCUCUCCUGUUAAUUUCUUCGGAAGGAUUUGAGGUAGCUUUUGAAGUAUUUGGUCAAAGUUGCAAACUCUUCGGGAGGAGGCCAGGCAUGGUACCUCACGCCUGUAAUCCCAGCAUUUUGGGAGGCUGAGGCGGGAGGAUCACCUGAGGUCAGGAGGUCAAGACCAGCAUGGUCAACAUGGCGAAACCCUGUCUCUAUUAAAAAUAUAAAAAUGAGCUGAGUAUGGUGAUGCACGCCUGUAAUCCUAGCUGCUUGGGAGGCUUGAGGCAGGAGAAUCACUUGAACCCAGAAGGCAGAGCUUGCCGUGAGAUGAGAUCGUGCCACUGCACUCCAGCCUGCGUGACAAAACAAGACUCCUCAUGGAAAAAAAAAAAAAAAGGAAACCUGAGAUUCUGCUUAACAAUUGUAAAGUCAGAAGUUAUAGCUGAGGUGGUACCAGUUUAAGAAGUGAGAACUUCUUCACUGACUGAAAUUUGCAUAUCAAUCCAAAUCAUUGUGCUUGUUUACUAUUUUUGUAGACGUCAUUCUUCAAAAGUGCUGCAUCUUUCAUAGUCAAGGAGGACAAAGACAUCUUUCCUGCAGGUGGUGACCAUAUGGAUAAUAGGAUCAUAGACAAAUGGUGGUUCCAUCUACAGCAUCACCAAAAUGCUGUUGUUACUGCUUCUUUCUGGGAUCUUCUUGCAUCUUUGCUUCUAAAGGGGCACACCUUUUAUAGAAGUACGUCCAGGAAUAGAAGUGACCUGCUUUUUCGCAAGGCGUUUUCAAAAAGUCUUUAUUUGGCGGAAUACAACUUCAGAAUCUGAUUCAAAGAGAAAAUUGCUCACAGCCGUGAGCCACUGUGCCUGGCCGAUUUUUACUAUUUAAAGAAAGAAGAAUUUUAGCAGCGUCGGGUGGCUCAUGCCUGUAAUCCCAGCACUUUGGGAGGCUGAGGUGGGCGGAUCACUUGAGGCCAGUAGUUCAAGAACAGCCUGGCCAACAUGACGAAACCCCAUCUCUACUAAAAAUACAAAAAUUAGCCAGGCGUGGUGGCACGUGCCUGUAGUCCCAGCUACUCGAAGGCUUAGGCAGGAGAAUCGCUUGAAUCAGAGACAGGGAGGCUGCAAUGAGCCGAGAUUGCAUCACUGCACUCCAGCCUGGGCGACAGUGCAAGACUCCAUCUCAAAAAUAAAGAGGAAUUGGAGGAGGAAACAAAUGAAUAAAUGACAAAGGUGACAAAGGACCAAAGAUCUGUGACUUGUGCAAAGAUUGCUCUGUGUUUGCUGCAGGUCUAGAAGAUGUUACAGAAUUUCAAGGAAGAGAGAGGAGGGCUGGAAUGAGGUCCUCCACUUCAGAAAAUAGGGGUGAGUAGUUAAACCAACAUCCUUUGGAAUUCAUAUACGUCAUGCGUUCCAUGCCACAUCCUGAGGUCUUUUUGUUGAUUUUUUUAGUGGCUUAAUGGAUAAUAUCUAAAUACUGUAUAUUUUACUUUGGUGAGUCUCUCCACCUUCAUUUCUGAAUCAUUGUCCUUUACAUUUUUAUUCUAUUUGAAUUUUGCAUGAAACGACAAAUGUAGAAUUUUGCCCAAUUUAUUUUAUUUAUUCAUUUAUUUAUUUGGGAAGACAAAGUCUCUCUCUGUCACCCAGGCUGGAGUACAUUGGCCCAGUCAUAGCUCACUUCAGCUCUUCACCCUGUAGCCCUUAACUCCUGGGCUCAAGUGAUCCUCCACCCUCAGCCUCCCAAGUAUCUAGGAAUACAGGCCAAUUUCCAUUUUAUUUAUGUUGUCUUCUUGGAAAGGACAAAGAACAACAAUUCUGUAUCUAGUAGCAAAGGUAAAUUUAAAUUCAAUUUAUUUCUUUUUAAAAUUUCAACUUUUAUUUUGGAUUCAGGGGGUACAUACACAGAUUUGUUACAUGGGAAUAAUGUGUGAACAUACAACUUGAUAGGUAGGUUUUUUUUCUUUGUUUUUUUGAGACAGAGUCUAAGUCUGUUCCCCAGGCUGGAGUGCAGUGGCAUAAUCUUUACUCACUGCAACCUGCAGCUCCCAGAUUCAAACGAUUCUCGUGCCUCAGCCUCCCAAGUAGCUGGGAUUAGAGGUGUGCAUUAUCACACCUGGUUGAUUUUUGUUUUUGCUUUUUUGUAGAGAUGGGGUGUCACCAUGUUGGCCAGACUGGUCUUGAACUCCCUGCCUGAAGUGAUUCACCCGCCUUGGCCUCCCGAAAUGCUGGGAUUACAGGUGUGAGCCCACCACACCUAGCCUUUGUCAUGGGAGGCCAGCCGCCUGCUGGCAAGGAAGAUGGUUGAUUCUUCUGAUCAAUGGAGGCCCUGCAGAGUCCUGUAGUCACUGUGGCCUGGCAUCCAUGGUGCACCCAAUGCUGGUGGAUGACUUAGGACGAGGCAGUUGCUGUGGGAGGUGUGGUAACUGCUGGAAGGAAGAUGCUCAAUUCUUCUGAGCAGCGAAGGCCACACGGAGUCCUGGAUUCUGUGUGGCCUGGCAUCCACGGUGCACUGUGUGCUGGCGGGUGGCUUAGGACGGUAAGCAUUUCUCUGCCCAGUAUGCUGAAUGAGGGUGUCUUUUGGAUUUCCAAGACCCGCAAGGAGUAGUUUCUCGGCUAACCACUAAUGGCAUGGCGAGUUCCUCUCCUAGAGUGGAUAGUCUGUGCUCAUUGCUCAGUGGCACCGCUCCAGUGGGGCCGAAGGUCUUUAAGGUCAUUGGCUCACCCACUACCCAGCCUGUGGUGUCAAAUAUCCUGCCCCUUGCCCCUUCAAAUGUGCUUGGAUCGAUGAUGAGUCCCCCAAAAAAACAUUCCUUGGAAAAGCUGAACAAAAUGAGUGAAAACUCAUACCGUCGUUCUCAUCGGAACUGAGGUCCAGCACGUUGCCUUCCCCGGGGACUGUAGGAGUGAGGGACAACUUCCACUGAUUCCCAUAGGUUCCACCACCCAAGGCAUCCACAGCCAAAGUCUCCCAUCAAAUGCUCAUUAGGAACAUUCCCUUUUUGUGAGGUACACAGGUAGGAGAGUCCUGGGGGGAACGGCUGCUGUGUGAUGGCCUGGUGGCCGUGGAAGCAGACAGAAAUAUCGCAGGCCUAGGGUAGUGUGCGCCUGAUCUUGGCUUGGUGAGCUCCUAGGAAGGGAGAUGCGGACCUCGUGGCAGGCGUCUCUGAGCAGAGGACUGAGUCCUUGUUUUCUUGCCAGGGAGAGCACAAGGCCCAGGCCUCAGGCAGAUGUUGGUCCUGAUUUUUGAUUAGCUGAGGACAAGGGAGUGCCAAGGGUGAUGGGGGACAGUGUAUAACAAAGGGUGUUGUGACAGAGAGCCAAAGCCUCUUUGGCCCUCCACCCAGCAUCCAGUCAUGGAGGCCCCCCAGCAGGGAUUUCUUCAUCCCCUGAGCCGUGAGAUGCCCCUGGUGCUAUGGUGGAAGCCUGGACUGGAAGGUACUCCACAGAAGAGGUGGUAGGGGGCUUAUGUGGACAUGUGUGUCAUCAGCAGUCUUGGGCUGUCGUUCAGCGGUGAUGGGCUUUCCAUUUAUUUCUCUAGUGGAUGACAAGUUGGCCAGCAGAGGUGUCAGAGGGCAGGUUCCAGGGAAUACAAGGGUCAGACUCGUGCUCCUGGUCCUCAGUCGCUUCUCGUCUUCCUGACAGAGUAGUGGGCUCCACUGUUGUGCACAUCUUCCUGGAAAUCGUCUCUUGGCCCGCCAUUGCCGAGCGGCCACACCUGCUGCAGCUCGUGUGAGCAAAUAUGGCUCUGGAUCCUCUUUCCUGCUUUGAAAGCAGCUUCCAUCCUGAAGGCGUCCAGAGGGGGCAGUUAUCAUGGGACACCCGCCAUAUGCUGGCAAGGAAGAUGGUCAGUUCUUCUGAGCCACAAAGGCCCCCAACAUCCUGGAGUUGGUGUGGCCUAGCAUCCACGGUGCGCCCCCUGCUGGUGGAUGGCUCAGGAUGGUAAGCAUUCCUCUGCCGCACAUGCUGAGUGGGGGUGGGAUUUCCAAGACUGCAAGGAGCUGUUUCUCAGCAGGCCACUGAUGGCAUGGUCAGUUCCACUCCUAAAGUGAACGGUCUGUGCCCAUUGUUCGGUGGCGCAGCUCUGGCUUCCCCAGCGUGCAGAGGGUUUUUAAGGUCAUUGGCUUGCCCACUGCCCAGCCUGUGGUGUCAAACAUCCUGCCCCUUUGAAUGUGCUUGGAUCGAUGAUGAGUCCCCCAUAAAAACAUUCCUUGGAAAAGCUGAACAAAAUGAGUGAGAACUCAUACCGUCGUUCUCAUCGGAACUGAGGUCCAGCACAUUGCCUCCCCCGGGGACUGUAGGAGCGAGGGACAACUUCCACUGGUUCCCAGAGGUUCUACCACUCAGGGCGUCCAUGGAUGAAAGUCUCACAUCACAGGCACAAUAGAAAUAUUCCCUCUGUGUGAGGGGCAGUUGCCGUGGGAGGCCCGCUGCCUGCUGGAAGGAAGAUGGUCAGUUCUUCUGAACCACAAAGGCCCUGCAGAGUCCUGGAGUCUGUGUGGCCUGGCUUCCAGGGUUCACCUCAUGCUGGUGGAUUGCUCAGGAUGGGUGUCGAACGUAAAGCUUUAAGGUUGUCAGCUCACCUACUGCCCAGCCUGUGGUGUCAAAUGUCCUGCCUCUUCAAAUGUGUUUGGAUCGAUGAUGAGUCCCCCCAAAAAAACAUUCCUUGGAAAAGCUGAACAAAAUGAGCGAAAACUCAUACCGUCGUUCUCAUCGGAACUGAGGUCCAGCACGUUGCCUCCAGCAGGGACUGUUGGAGUGAGGGACAGCUUCCACUAGUCCCUAUAGGUUCCACCACCCAGGGCAUCCGCAGGUGCACCUCACCUAAGAGGGUGGCCAGAGACAGUGUCUUGUCAUGACAUCAGAAGCCCCAUGAGGAAGAAGAGGAGCCUGUGCUCCUGCCAGAGGUGGUGGCUGUUAGGGGCAGUUGCCGUGGGAGGUCCGCUGCCUGCUGUCAAGGAAGAUGGUCCAUGCUUCUGAGAAACAGGC
RNA transcript from Gorilla gorilla gorilla (western lowland gorilla), 9105 nucleotides. RefSeq lists it as uncharacterized. Lineage: Eukaryota; Metazoa; Chordata; Mammalia; Primates; Hominidae. The record is from RefSeq and is a predicted model, not a curated record. The transcript is spliced from 15 exons.